RNAcentral lists this ribosomal RNA (868 nucleotides) under uncultured archaeon. RNAcentral's name for it is "bacterial SSU rRNA". It matches the Rfam family "Archaeal small subunit ribosomal RNA", at positions 1 to 878 of the family's 1478-position model. The record is from RNAcentral.
GCCCUUGGUGAUCCCGCCGGACCCGACUGCUAUCAGAGUGGGACUAAGCCAUGCGAGUCGACGUAGCAAUGCGUGGCGAACGGCUCAGUAACACGUAGUCAACAUGCCCAGGGGACGUGGAUAACCUCGGGAAACUGAGAAUAAACCACGAUAGGUCACGAUUUCUGGAAUGGAUCAUGGCCUAAAUCUACAUGGCCCCUGGAUUGGACUGCGGCCGAUCAGGCUGUUGGUGAGGUAAUGGCCCACCAAACCUAUAACCGGUACGGGCUCUGAGAGGAGAAGCCCGGAGAUGGGCACUGAGACAAGGGCCCAGGCCCUAUGGGGCGCAGCAGGCGCGAAACCUCUGCAAUAGGCGAAAGCCUGACAGGGUUACUCUGAGUGAUUUCCGCUAAGGGGAUCUUUUGGCACCUCUAAAAAUGGUGCAGAAUAAGGGGUGGGCAAGUCUGGUGUCAGCCGCCGCGGUAAUACCAGCACCCCGAGUGGUCGGGACGAUUAUUGGGCCUAAAGCAUCCGUAGCCGGUUCUGCAAGUCUUCCGUUAAAUCCAGCCGCUCAACGGAUGGGCCGCGGAGGAUACUACAGGACUAGGAGGCGGGAGAGGCAAGCGGUACUCAGUGGGUAGGGGUAAAAUCCUUUGAUCCAUUGAAGACCACCAGUGGCGAAGGCGGCUUGCCAGAACGCGCUCGACGGUGAGGGAUGAAAGCUGGGGGAGCAAACCGGAUUAGAUACCCGGGUAGUCCCAGCUGUAAACGAUGCAGACUCGGUGAUGGGCUAGCCUUGUGCCAGCCCAGUGCCGCAGGGAAGCCGUUAAGUCUGCCGCCUGGGGAGUACGGUCGCAAGACUGAAACUUAAAGGAAUUGGCGGGGAGCA